AUUUAUAUAAUAUAUACACGUAUAUUUAACUUCCAAUUAAAAAGUCUGAUUAUAUAAUCAGUAUAAAUA
Molecule: transfer RNA, 69 nt
Filed under: Syrista parreyssii
Lineage: Eukaryota; Metazoa; Arthropoda; Insecta; Hymenoptera; Cephidae
Description: tRNA-Gly
Source: RNAcentral